GCGUGGAGACAGGUGGUGCAUGGCUGUCGUCAGCUCGUGUCGUGAGAUGUUGGGUUAAGUCCCGCAACGAGCGCAACCCUUACCCCUUGUUGCCAUCAGGUCAUGCUGGGCACUCUAGGGGAACUGCCCCGGUCAACGGGGAGGAAGGCGGGGAUGACGUCAAGUCAUCAUGCCCCUUACGCCCUGGGCUACACACGUGCUACAAUGGCCGGUACAAAGGGAUGCAAGACCGCGAGGUGGAGCUAAACCCAAAAAGCCGGUUCUAAGUUCAGAUUGGAGUCUGCAACUCGACUCCAUGAAGGAGGAAUCGCUAGUAAUCGCGUAUCAGCACGACGCGGUGAAUACGUUCCCGGGCCUUGAACACACCGCCCGUCACACCACGAAAGUCAGCUGUACUCGAAGUCGCUGAG
RNAcentral lists this ribosomal RNA (410 nucleotides) under uncultured Methylomirabilota bacterium. RNAcentral's name for it is "bacterial SSU rRNA". It matches the Rfam family "Bacterial small subunit ribosomal RNA", at positions 1026 to 1434 of the family's 1533-position model. Lineage: Bacteria; Methylomirabilota (SeqCode). The record is from RNAcentral.